GAUGAACGCUGGCGGCGUGCCUAAUACAUGCAAGUCGAGCGAACAGAUGAGGAGCUUGCUCCUCUGACGUUAGCGGCGGACGGGUGAGUAACACGUGGAUAACCUACCUAUAAGACUGGGAUAACUUCGGGAAACCGGAGCUAAUACCGGAUAAUAUAUUGAACCGCAUGGUUCAAUAGUGAAAGACGGUUUUGCUGUCACUUAUAGAUGGAUCCGCGCCGCAUUAGCUAGUUGGUAAGGUAACGGCUUACUAAGGCAACGAUGCGUAGCCGACCUGAGAGGGUGAUCGGCCACACUGGAACUGAGACACGGUCCAGACUCCUACGGGAGGCAGCAGUAGGGAAUCUUCCGCAAUGGGCGAAAGCCUGACGGAGCAACGCCGCGUGAGUGAUGAAGGUCUUCGGAUCGUAAAACUCUGUUAUUAGGGAAGAACAAAUGUGUAAGUAACUAUGCACGUCUUGACGGUACCUAAUCAGAAAGCCACGGCUAACUACGUG
RNAcentral lists this ribosomal RNA (497 nucleotides) under uncultured bacterium. Its description in RNAcentral is "partial 16S ribosomal RNA". It matches the Rfam family "Bacterial small subunit ribosomal RNA", at positions 28 to 507 of the family's 1533-position model. The record is from RNAcentral.